RNAcentral lists this ribosomal RNA (617 nucleotides) under uncultured bacterium. RNAcentral describes it as "bacterial SSU rRNA". It matches the Rfam family "Bacterial small subunit ribosomal RNA", at positions 1 to 587 of the family's 1533-position model. The record is from RNAcentral.
CUCGAGGCCAGAUCUAGAGUUUGAUCCUGGCUGAGAACGAACGCUGGCGGCGUGCUUAAGACAUGCAAGUCGGACGGUAAGGCCCCUUCGGGGGUACACGAGUGGCGCACGGGUGAGUAACGCGUGGGUAAUCUACCUUCGGGUCUGGGACAACUCCGGGAAACUGGAGCUAAUACCGGAUGAGGCCACGAGGUCCUCGGACCUUGCGGAAAAAGAUGGCCUCUUCUUGAAAGCUAUCGCCUGUCGAUGAGCCCGCGUCCCAUUAGCUUGUUGGUGAGGUAACGGCUCACCAAGGCAAUGAUGGGUAGCUGGUCUGAGAGGAUGAUCAGCCACACUGGAACUGAGACACGGUCCAGACUCCUACGGGAGGCAGCAGUCGGGAAUUUUGGGCAAUGGGCGCAAGCCUGACCCAGCUACGCCGCGUGAGGGAUGAAGGCCUUCGGGUCGUAAACCUCUGUCGGGAGGGAAGAACGUGCUGCGGGUGAACAAUCCGCGGGACUGACGGUACCUCCAAAGGAAGCGCCGGCUAACUCCGUGCCAGCAGCCGCGGUAAUACGGAGGGCGCAAGCGUUGUUCGGAAUUACUGGGCGUAAAGCGCGUGUAGGCGGCUUGGUAAG